Molecule: ribosomal RNA, 470 nt
Filed under: uncultured marine eukaryote
Lineage: Eukaryota
Description: SSU rRNA
Rfam family: Eukaryotic small subunit ribosomal RNA
Source: RNAcentral
UUAAAAAGCUCGUAGUUGGAUUUCUGUCGAAGGCGGCCGGUCCGCACUAUGUGCGUGCAUCUGGUUCGGUUUUGGCAUCCUCUUGGGGAUCGAUUCUGUGCUUGAUUGCAUGGAGCGGAAUUCAAGACUUUUACUUUGAGGAAAUUAGAGUGUUCACGGCAAGCUAUCGCUUUGAAUACGUUAGCAUGGAAUAAUAAUAUAGGGCGUAAGUUCUAUUUUAUUGGUUUCUAGAACAUACGCAAUGAUUAAUAGGGAUAAUUGGGGGCACUCGUAUUAACGCGUCAGAGGUGGAAUUCUUAGAUUGCGUUACGACGAACUACUGCGAAAGCAUUUGCCAAGGAUGUUUUCAUUGAUCAAGAACGAAAGUAUGGGGAUCGAAGACGAUUAGAUACCGUCGUAGUCUAUACCAUAAACUAUGCCAACUAGAGAUUGGAGGUCGUUUUUUUUAUGACUCCUUUAGCACCUUAUGA